AAACGCAGCUCCUAUUUACGACACUAGAUGGGCGCCUGAAUGCAUCAUGACAGCCGCGCGGGUUUCAAGAGUUGGCGUAACAUUUGAUGUUCAACUAAAGUGCGAACUUUUAAACGGUUGCUGGGGAAUGCUGGAGCCUAUACCAGCUGACUUCAGGGUUGCGUCCCAGCAUGCUUCCACUGCAGUUCAGUCCUCAGCUGGGGGGCGGGGCAUACGAAGAAAAAGACAGAGACAAACAGUAGGACAGACGGACAUGGAAUCUGUCAAUGCUGGCAGUCAAAUAGCAGCUUUUUCAGUCUCAUCCAAGCUUUGACAGUGAGAGGGCUACUGGCUGGGGGGGGGGGCGUAUGCCGGAGGACUCUUCUCCUCCCCCGUCCCCGCUUAUCACUCAUUGGAUUGGUGCUAUGUAGCAGUGCUGCUAACACUUGCGCUCUGCUGCACUCUAUAUCUUGAAGCAGCAGAGAGGGGUGGCCCCUGUGGGGCUGUGGUGGCGGGGGAGCGUUGUCGCCCCCUCAUCCCUCAGUACAUUCUUUCAAAAGGGAGUAGUGAGGGUAAGUGUU
Molecule: non-coding RNA, 560 nt
Organism: Doryrhamphus excisus (bluestripe pipefish)
Lineage: Eukaryota; Metazoa; Chordata; Actinopteri; Syngnathiformes; Syngnathidae
Source: RefSeq, a predicted model, not a curated record